This is a non-coding RNA of Triticum aestivum (bread wheat), 115 nucleotides long. Lineage: Eukaryota; Viridiplantae; Streptophyta; Magnoliopsida; Poales; Poaceae. The record is from Rfam.
GUAUUACUCCCUUCAUUCGAAAUUACUUGUCGCAGAAAUGGAUGUAUCUAGACAUAUUUUAAUUCCAGAUACAUCCAUUUCCGAGAUAAGUAAUUCCGAACGGAUGAAGUAUUAA